UACGUAGGGGGCAAGCGUUGUCCGGAUUUAUUGGGCGUAAAGAGCGUGUAGGCGGCCAUACAGGUCAGCUGUGAAAACUCGAGGCUCAACCUCGAGACGUCGGUUGAAACCGUUUGGCUAGAGUCCGGAAGAGGAGAGUGGAAUUCCCGGUGUAGCGGUGAAAUGCGCAGACAUCGGGAAGAACACCCGUGGCGAAGGCGGCUCUCUGGGACGGUACUGACGCUGAGACGCGAAAGCGUGGGGAGCGAACAGG
RNAcentral lists this ribosomal RNA (253 nucleotides) under uncultured bacterium. Its description in RNAcentral is "partial 16S ribosomal RNA". It matches the Rfam family "Bacterial small subunit ribosomal RNA", at positions 524 to 776 of the family's 1533-position model. The record is from RNAcentral.